GAUGAACGCUGGCGGCGUGCCUAAUACAUGCAAGUCGAGCGGUAAGGCUCCUGCAGAUUGUUCGAUACAUACGGAAGAGGGAAGGCUCCUAAUUCUGAUCGAAUAAUGUGCUGGAGUACACGAGCGGCGGACGGCUGAGUAACACGUAGGAACGUACCCAAACUGAGGGAUAAGCACCAGAAAUGGUGUCUAAUACCGCAUGUGCUCUUCGGAGAAAGCUACGGCGGUUUGGAACGGCCUGCGUAAGAUUAGCUAGUUGGUGAGGUAAUAGCUCACCAAGGCGACGAUCUUUAGCUGGUCUGAGAGGAUGACCAGCCAGACUGGGACUGAGAACGGCCCAAACUCCUACGGGAGC
This 355-nucleotide ribosomal RNA is filed under the name uncultured bacterium. RNAcentral describes it as "bacterial SSU rRNA". It matches the Rfam family "Bacterial small subunit ribosomal RNA", at positions 28 to 348 of the family's 1533-position model. The record is from RNAcentral.